CCCGGAAGCGCGCCCGGGCUCCUGCAGGCCGGGCGCUGUGCGCGCCGCGAUCCGCAUUUGCAGGACCAGGGAUGCCGUGCUGCUCUCCCAUGAACCAGUCCCCAAGUCUCUGCUGCAGCCCUGUCUGAACCUCUGACUGUCUGGAUGCUCCACUGUGCUCCUUGCCAAGGUGGGUCAUCACAGCCUGCUGAGUCUUUAAAGCUCCUCCCGGCCCCCACCAAGAGGUGAGCACUCAUUACCCGACACCCGCAC
Molecule: long non-coding RNA, 252 nt
Filed under: Theropithecus gelada (gelada)
Lineage: Eukaryota; Metazoa; Chordata; Mammalia; Primates; Cercopithecidae
Description: lncRNA (ENSTGEG00000017081.1)
Source: RNAcentral